CCUACGGGUGGCAGCAGUGGGGAAUAUUGCACAAUGGGGGAAACCCUGAUGCAGCGACGCCGCGUGAGUGAAGAAGUAUUUCGGUAUUUUAAGCUCUAUCAGCAGGGAAGAAAAAGACGGUACCUGAUUAAGAAUGCCCGGCGAACUACGUGCCAGCAGCCGCGGUAAGACGUAGGGGGCCAGCGUUAUCCGGAUUUACUGGGUGUAAAGGGAGCGUAGACGGCAGCACAAGUCUGUAGUGAAAUGCCGGGGCUCAACCCCGGAACUGCUUUUGAAACUGGGCAGCUAGAGUGCAGGCGAGGUAAGUGGAAUGCCUAGUGUAGCGGUGAAAUGCGUAGAUAUUAGGCGGAACACCAGUGGCGAAGGCGGCUUACUGGACUGUAACUGACGUUGAGGCACGAAAGCGUGGGGAGCAAACAGGAUUAGAUACCCGAGUAGUC
This 440-nucleotide ribosomal RNA is filed under the name uncultured bacterium. RNAcentral describes it as "partial 16S ribosomal RNA". It matches the Rfam family "Bacterial small subunit ribosomal RNA", at positions 338 to 795 of the family's 1533-position model. The record is from RNAcentral.